CUACUUGCACUGAACAAAUAUGUGGUCAUACAACCACUUCAAGUUUAAAAAUAAUACAUAAAUAUGGAUUACAAAAGCAAGCUUUGAUGACAGACAUAUAAAAGAAAUUGCUUUAUCAUUAGUAAUAUCUAUCCAAACCGAUUCAUUAAGUAACUCUGGGAUAAACUAUUAAAUUAAAUAGAACUGUCGGUAAAUACUAAGUUCAUUAACUAUUAAAAUGGAGAUAAUUCAAAUGGAGAAGGAAAGAUAGAUUUAAGCAGUCAUAAUAGAGGCAACCAUAAUGAAGCAUCGCCUCUUGUUCACUAAUUUGUUUAAUAUAAGGCAUGCUCUUCACAUCAAUAAGCUCCACAUCUUGCUGAAACAGUUAUGUUCUCGAUCCCUUUGCUUGCCGCAGCAUCCUAGCAAAUUACAUUAGGUCAUGAUUCACACUUUUUUGCUUAUAAGUUAUAACCAAGGAAACAUGGAAAGAAAAUAACCCAAGGUCUUCUUGUACCUAUCUGUUAAGUCAAAUCCUAGGAAGUUCUCAACCACCUAAUUCCUACUUAUUUUCGCUUGCACUUGAAGCUUAUACCAAGAUAUUGAGGGACUUAGUUAACUAUCAAUUGCUUCUCCAGCUAAAAAAUGCUUCAUUACCAUCUUUCUAUACCAAAUUGGUCGCUUCGACAGUCUUUAUAAAUUUCAUUCCAAUUCUAAGCUUAAGCCAUACAAAUACUUCAAGUGAACUUUUAAGCACAUGCACAUGAUUUUGAUUCUGAAGUUUGUGAAAAUGUUAAGGUUCCAUACAAACAAACAAAUGACUCUAUUAGAUUUAAGUGAUGGAGAAGAAAAUAGAUAUAGGCUUUACUUAAAUAGAAGUGCUAGAGAGCACUCUCACCUUCCUUGUUCUUCCAAUUAAAGGUGUUGCAGCAGGCUAUUAAGAGGGCUCUCAAUAUUUUGUUAUGCAAAAGAAAUUACAGUUAGGAUAAGGUAAAAAUAUUAAAUAAACAACGAAGGGAAGGCGGCGCAGAAAAUUUGUGAAUCUCCUAAUAGACUUUGGACAAACAGAAGAAUCGUUCGACAAUCAAGAGCUGAAAACAUUUUGUCCUGCAAAAAGAAAAAUGAAAUAAUCAUGUUAAAACGAAAGGAAGGUGGCUUUUCUGAUGACAUAACAUUCACUAUUUUUCAUUGAAAGACUACAGGCAUAGUCAAAUUGCUGCGGUAUGAAGGAGAUUGUUGUUCAUGCCUAUACUGUGACUUGGUAAUCAUUUUCUAGUAUUAACUCUUUAUUGCCCUAUUCUAUUACAAGUUACAAGUUACAACAACAAAUAGAAUAAUUAUAGAUAAUUGUUACAAGAAAGAGGGAAAUAAUCAAAACAAUUACAAAGGAGAAAAAAGAUUUAGAAGAACGAUUGAAACACUUUAUAGGAAAUAAACUAUAUGUUGGGCAUCCAAAAUAUAUAAUUUUAUACUCACCUCAUAUUAUACAGAAGAAUUAAGAUUGAAGGUUGUAAAGCAGAACUUUUUACGAACCCAGUUGAAGUAAGUUGUUGAUGUAUUACAAGCAUAGAGUAAUAUAUAUAUCAAAAGUCAUAGCAAAAUUGGAAAUUGAAGCUUAAAACAAACAGGAAAAAUGACGAACACAGGGAUGGCCAAAGAUGACGUAUAAAUAAAAAAUAUGUUCAAAGCCUAAUCCCACUGUCAAGACAAAUACUGAAAAUCCCAAUAAAACGAAAAAGAAGUAAGAGUCGAAAAAUUCACAGGAAUCCAAUGGUUGGACUGAUACUCUGCAAAAAAUUAAUGUAAGAAGCCGGUAAAAAAAAGUUUAAUAAGGAGACACAUGAUCAAACACCAAUCAAACAUGAAGAAUUUUUACCUCGGAUAUUUUUACAGAGAGAAAUUGCUCCUCCUCAAUUGAUUUCUUCCUCUAUCUUUAAUUUAUUCUCCAUCCUGGCUGCAAUUGGAAUUGAAGACCUUAAGGUUUUGGUUGAAACGCUAAUGUGUUUAAUUCUUUCACCCCUGUUGAUUUAUUGGUAAAAGCAAACGGCUGCCUUAUUAGGGAAAACAAACGACGCUUAUUAGAGAAACGGUUUAAAAGACUAAAAUUGGAUAGCAACCGUUGUUCAUUCAUCGAGAAACCCC
Molecule: long non-coding RNA, 2118 nt
Filed under: Nicotiana tabacum (common tobacco)
Lineage: Eukaryota; Viridiplantae; Streptophyta; Magnoliopsida; Solanales; Solanaceae
Description: long non-coding RNA (NTAB_LNC007405)
Source: RNAcentral